This is a long non-coding RNA of Malurus melanocephalus (red-backed fairy wren), 268 nucleotides long. RefSeq lists it as uncharacterized. The transcript has 3 exons. Lineage: Eukaryota; Metazoa; Chordata; Aves; Passeriformes; Maluridae. The record is from RefSeq and is a predicted model, not a curated record.
CCCUACCCACAGAAUCACAUUUUCGGGGCAGUGGGAGGACAAUUCCAGGGCAGUGGCUCCCUGAGCACCCCCUAACAGAGCUGCUGUGAUUCCUGCCCUCCUCGCUCUCCAGAUCYCUGGAAUUCUCUCUUCAGCCAGGAUUUGAGCAUUACCUGGAGGUUCUCGAUGUGAGUCCCAAGCAGGAUGCACCAUGUCUCCCCGGCACCAGCUCUGACGAUGAUGGCCACCCAGACUGUGCCUCCUCCUCCUCCCUACCAAGACACCCCAC